Molecule: ribosomal RNA, 825 nt
Filed under: Salmonella enterica
Lineage: Bacteria; Pseudomonadati; Pseudomonadota; Gammaproteobacteria; Enterobacterales; Enterobacteriaceae
Also listed under: 2 other names
Description: partial 23S ribosomal RNA
Rfam family: Bacterial large subunit ribosomal RNA
Source: RNAcentral
AGACCCGAAACCCGGUGAUCUAGCCAUGGGCAGGUUGAAGGUUGGGUAACACUAACUGGAGGACCGAACCGACUAAUGUUGAAAAAUUAGCGGAUGACCUGUGGCUGGGGGUGAAAGGCCAAUCAAACCGGGAGAUAGCUGGUUCUCCCCGAAAGCUAUUUAGGUAGCGCCUCGUGAAUUCAUCUCCGGGGGUAGAGCACUGUUUCGGCUAGGGGGCCAUCCCGGCUUACCAACCCGAUGCAAACUGCGAAUACCGGAGAAUGUUAUCACGGGAGACACACGGCGGGUGCUAACGUCCGUCGUGAAGAGGGAAACAACCCAGACCGCCAGCUAAGGUCCCAAAGUCAUGGUUAAGUGGGAAACGAUGUGGGAAGGCCCAGACAGCCAGGAUGUUGGCUUAGAAGCAGCCAUCAUUUAAAGAAAGCGUAAUAGCUCACUGGUCGAGUCGGCCUGCGCGGAAGAUGUAACGGGGCUAAACCAUGCACCGAAGCUGCGGCAGCGAACGUAUCACCCAAGACAACUUUACGGAGUUGACGAUUGACGGAGCGAAGCGACGUCAAAGCGUUCAUUAAAGUCGAGUUGGCUUAGGGAUACGUUCGUUGGGUAGGGGAGCGUUCUGUAAGCCUGUGAAGGUGUGUCGUGAGGCAUGCUGGAGGUAUCAGAAGUGCGAAUGCUGACAUAAGUAACGAUAAAGCGGGUGAAAAGCCCGCUCGCCGGAAGACCAAGGGUUCCUGUCCAACGUUAAUCGGGGCAGGGUGAGUCGACCCCUAAGGCGAGGCCGAAAGGCGUAGUCGAUGGGAAACGGGUUAAUAUUCCCGUACUUGG